This 491-nucleotide ribosomal RNA is filed under the name uncultured bacterium. RNAcentral describes it as "partial 16S ribosomal RNA". It matches the Rfam family "Bacterial small subunit ribosomal RNA", at positions 29 to 506 of the family's 1533-position model. The record is from RNAcentral.
AGUGAACGCUGGCGGUAGGCCUAACACAUGCAAGUCGAACGGCAGCACAGUAAGAGGUUGCUCUUACGGGUGGCGAGUGGCGGACGGGUGAGGAAUACAUCGGAAUCUACUUUUUCGUGGGGGAUAACGUAGGGAAACUUACGCUAAUACCGCAUACGACCUACGGGUGAAAGCAGGGGAUCUUCGGACCUUGCGCGAUUGAAUGAGCCGAUGUCGGAUUAGCUAGUUGGCGGGGUAAAGGCCCACCAAGGCGACGAUCCGUAGCUGGUCUGAGAGGAUGAUCAGCCACACUGGAACUGAGACACGGUCCAGACUCCUACGGGAGGCAGCAGUGGGGAAUAUUGGACAAUGGGCGCAAGCCUGAUCCAGCCAUACCGCGUGGGUGAAGAAGGCCUUCGGGUUGUAAAGCCCUUUUGUUGGGAAAGAAAAGCAGCAGGUUAAUACCCCGCUGUUCUGACGGUACCCAAAGAAUAAGCACCGGCUAACUUCGU